This 496-nucleotide ribosomal RNA is filed under the name Hygrophorus sp. OSC 49616. Its description in RNAcentral is "eukaryotic LSU rRNA". It matches the Rfam family "Eukaryotic large subunit ribosomal RNA", at positions 1 to 481 of the family's 3401-position model. Lineage: Eukaryota; Fungi; Basidiomycota; Agaricomycetes; Agaricales; Hygrophoraceae. The record is from RNAcentral.
UUGGCCUCAAAUCAGGUAGGACUACCCGCUGAACUUAAGCAUAUCAAUAAGCGGAGGAAAAGAAACUAACAAGGAUUCCCCUAGUAACUGCGAGUGAAGAGGGAAAAGCUCAAAUUUAAAAUCUGGCAGCCUAAGUUUAACGGUUGUCCGAGUUGUAAUCUAGAGAAGUGCUUUCCGUGCUGGACCGUGUACAAGUCUCUUGGAAUAGAACAUCAUAGAGGGUGAGAAUCCCGUCUUUGACACGGACUACCAGUGCUUAUGUGAUGCGCUCUCAAAGAGUCGAGUUGUUUGGGAAUGCAGCUCAAAAUGGGUGGUAAAUUCCAUCUAAAGCUAAAUAUUGGCGAGAGACCGAUAGCGAACAAGUACCGUGAGGGAAAGAUGAAAAGGACUUUGGAAAGAGAGUUAAACAGUACGUGAAAUUGUUGAAAGGGAAACGCUUGAAGUCAGUCACGUUGAUCGGAAGUCAAACCCGUAACAGGGCGAAAUUUCAGGUUUU